GUGACACUGGAGUGGACAGUCAGUGGGAGCAGCAGGUGCCAGCGGGUACACUGAACUCAAGAGAGGGCGGGAGUCCUGUGCACAUGGCAGAAGGUGACAGACACAAAUUUCAGGGAGGAGCCGCCGGAUCUACUUCCCAGCGUUCCGGAAGUCGCACUCACACCGCAACCUCGGACCGGACCGGUCCUGCUGUUACCCACUCUCCGCAUUAACGGAACUUUCUACAGACUUUCUGCUAAGAAGCCGCCAGAUCUACUUCCCAGCGUUCCGGAAGUCGCACUCACACCGCAACCUCGGACCGGACCGGUCCUGCUGUUACCAUACCCACUCUCCGCAUUAACGGAACUUUCUGCAUACUUUCUG
Long non-coding RNA from Bombina bombina (fire-bellied toad), 363 nucleotides. RefSeq lists it as uncharacterized. The record is from RefSeq and is a predicted model, not a curated record. The transcript is spliced from 3 exons. Lineage: Eukaryota; Metazoa; Chordata; Amphibia; Anura; Bombinatoridae.